RNAcentral lists this long non-coding RNA (252 nucleotides) under Lathyrus oleraceus (garden pea). RNAcentral describes it as "Pisum sativum (pea) long non-coding RNA (PSAT_LNC016888)". Lineage: Eukaryota; Viridiplantae; Streptophyta; Magnoliopsida; Fabales; Fabaceae. The record is from RNAcentral.
UCCUAAUCAUAUUAGAGAUGAAGGAUAAGAAAAAAAACCACAAAUGGAGUUCCUCUCUUGAGAUCAUAUUGAUGAUCCAAGUAGCUCCCAUCCUUUGGAAUAUGCAAGCAAAAUAAGUGUAAGCUCAAGCAAUCAACAUAAUCAAACAAGCUCUUAGAAGAUCCCCAAAUGUCUCUUGUAUCUUUCACUUUGGAUGAACAUGGCAAUGGUUCUUCAAUUUGGCUCAAAUAGGAUCCCCUAGCACAAAAGCAC